Molecule: microRNA, 22 nt
Filed under: Taeniopygia guttata (zebra finch)
Lineage: Eukaryota; Metazoa; Chordata; Aves; Passeriformes; Estrildidae
Description: tgu-miR-216a-3p
Gene: tgu-miR-216a-3p
Source: miRBase by way of RNAcentral
CACAGUUGUAGCUGGGAUUAUG